RNAcentral lists this ribosomal RNA (497 nucleotides) under uncultured bacterium. Its description in RNAcentral is "partial 16S ribosomal RNA". It matches the Rfam family "Bacterial small subunit ribosomal RNA", at positions 28 to 507 of the family's 1533-position model. The record is from RNAcentral.
GAUGAACGCUGGCGGCGUGCCUAAUACAUGCAAGUCGAGCGAACGGACGAGAAGCUUGCUUCUCUGAUGUUAGCGGCGGACGAGUGAGUAACACGUGGAUAACCUACCUAUAAGACUGGGAUAACUUCGGGAAACCGGAGCUAAUACCGGAUAAUAUUUUGAACCGCAUGGUUCAAAAGUGAAAGACGGUCUUGCUGUCACUUAUAGAUGGAUCCGCGCUGCAUUAGCUAGUUGGUAAGGUAACGGCUUACCAAGGCAACGAAGCAUAGCCGACCUGAGAGGGUGAUCGGCCACACUGGAACUGAGACACGGUCCAGACUCCUACGGGAGGCAGCAGUAGGGAAUCUUCCGCAAUGGGCGAAAGCCUGACGGAGCAACGCCGCGUGAGUGAUGAAGGUCUUCGGAUCGUAAAACUCUGUUAUUAGGGAAGAACAUAUGUGUAAGUAACUGUGCACAUCUUGACGGUACCUAAUCAGAAAGCCACGGCUAACUACGUG